GAAAACCCCGCUACAGAUACUCUACAAAUAGAAGAGCCUAUAGAGUCUUUAAUUCCAUAACCAAAGUUAUAAUGGAAUCCAUAAAUAUGGUAGUGGAUGACAAUAUCUCAGGAAAGGGGACGAAUGUUGAAUCAGAUGUUGAGACAUUAUCUCAACAUAUCAACUCAACUGAAAAUGAAGAAGUGAUUGAAUCAGAUAGUGCAU
RNAcentral lists this long non-coding RNA (204 nucleotides) under Lathyrus oleraceus (garden pea). Its description in RNAcentral is "Pisum sativum (pea) long non-coding RNA (PSAT_LNC025833)". Lineage: Eukaryota; Viridiplantae; Streptophyta; Magnoliopsida; Fabales; Fabaceae. The record is from RNAcentral.